GAUGAACGCUGGCGGCGUGCCUAAUACAUGCAAGUCGAGCGAACGGACGAGAAGCUUGCUUUUCUGAUGUUAGCGGCGGACGGGUGAGUAACACGUGGAUAACCUACCUAUAAGACUGGGAUAACUUCGGGAAACCGGAGCUAAUACCGGAUAAUAUUUUGAACCGCAUGGUUCAAAAGUGAAAGACGGUCUUGCUGUCACUUAUAGAUGGAUCCGCGCUGCAUUAGCUAGUUGGUAAGGUAACGGCUUACCAAGGCAACGAUGCAUAGCCGACCUGAGAGGAUGAUCGGCCACACUGGAACUGAGACACGGUCCAGACUCCUACGGGAGGCAGCAGUAGGGAAUCUUCCGCAAUGGGCGAAAGCUUGACGGAGCAACGCCGCGUGAGUGAUGAAGGUCUUCGGAUCGUAAAACUCUGUUAUUUGGGAAGAACAUAUGUGUAAGUAACUGUGCACAUCUUGACGGUACCUAAUCAGAAAGCCACGGCUAACUACGUG
RNAcentral lists this ribosomal RNA (497 nucleotides) under uncultured bacterium. RNAcentral describes it as "partial 16S ribosomal RNA". It matches the Rfam family "Bacterial small subunit ribosomal RNA", at positions 28 to 507 of the family's 1533-position model. The record is from RNAcentral.